Molecule: ribosomal RNA, 583 nt
Filed under: Triticum aestivum (bread wheat)
Lineage: Eukaryota; Viridiplantae; Streptophyta; Magnoliopsida; Poales; Poaceae
Description: partial small subunit ribosomal RNA
Source: RNAcentral
CCCACUCGCUUCCCCCCCACUCCCAUCGACUGGAUCUGGAUCGGGGAAUCCCGAUCCCCUCGCCCCUCUCCCUCGCACACCCGUCGCCGCCUGGACGCGCCGGCGACCGGAGCUCCCUCACCGGCCUGCUUCCCCUUCCCCACCGGCCUGCACCCGCUCCGCCUUAUCGUCCCCGACUGCCUCCUCGUCCCCCUUUGUCGCGUGCCCUACUCCCCCUUACAUCGAGACCGACGCAGCUGCUACCCAGUAUGACUACGGUGUUGACGACCCCUCUCUCUUACCAGAGCAACCAGAUGCUGGAGCCCAGGAGCCAGACGCCACUGUUGACGACGACUCCUACUACACCGGAGGUGCCUACUACUAUGUGCUGCCCGCUGACGAUGACCAGGAGUAGUUAGGAGGAUCCCAGGCAGGAGGCCUGCGCCUCUUUCGAUCUGUAUCCCAGUUUUUGCUAGCCUUCUUAAGGCAAACUUGUUUAACUUAUGUUUGUACUCAGAUAUUGUUGCUUCCGCUGACUCGUCUAUGAUCGAGCUCUUGUAUUCGAGCCCUCAAGGCCCCUGGCUUGUAAUAUGAUGCUUGUAUG